This 364-nucleotide unclassified non-coding RNA is filed under the name uncultured bacterium. RNAcentral describes it as "contains 16S-23S intergenic spacer region". The record is from RNAcentral.
UCCCGGUUGGCCCGGGCAGUCUCGCGUGAAAAAUUCAACACACGACAAGGGUUGCGCUCGUUGCGGGACUUAACCCAACAUCUCACGACACGAGCUGACGACGGCCAUGCAGCACCUGUCACCAGGUUCCCGAAGGCACUCCACCGUUUCCGGCGGAUUCCUGGGAUGUCAAGCCUCGGUAAGGUUCUUCGCGUAUCGUCGAAUUAAACCCCAUGCUCCACUGCUUGUGCGGGUCCCCGUCAAUUCCUUUGAGUUUUAAGCUUGCGCUCGUACUCCCCAGGCGGCAGACUUAUCGCGUUAGCUUCUCAGCCCAGGGGGUCGAUACCCCAGACUAAUAGUCUGCAUCGUUUACGGCGUGGACUAC